Molecule: ribosomal RNA, 347 nt
Filed under: uncultured bacterium
Lineage: Bacteria
Description: partial 16S ribosomal RNA
Rfam family: Bacterial small subunit ribosomal RNA
Source: RNAcentral
CCUACGGGAUGCAGCAGUGAGGAAUAUUGGUCAAUGGGCGUAAGCCUGAACCAGCCAAGUCGCGUGAGGGAUGAAGGUUCUAUGGAUCGUAAACCUCUUUUAUAAGGGAAUAAAGUGCGGGACGUGACCAGUUUUGUAUGUACCUUAUGAAUAAGGAUCGGCUAACUCCGUGCCAGCAGCCGCGGUAAUACGGAGGAUCCGAGCGUUAUCCGGAUUUAUUGGGUUUAACGGGUGCGUAGGCUGCCUUUUAAGUCAGCGGUGAAAGUCUGUGGCUCACCCAUAGAAUUGCCGUUGAAACUGGGAGGCUUGCUUAUGUUUGCGGCAGGCGGACUGCGUUGUGUAGCGGU